Syngnathus acus (greater pipefish) is the source of this 282-nucleotide long non-coding RNA. RefSeq lists it as uncharacterized. Lineage: Eukaryota; Metazoa; Chordata; Actinopteri; Syngnathiformes; Syngnathidae. The transcript has 2 exons. The record is from RefSeq and is a predicted model, not a curated record.
CUUGUGCUCCCAGACUGAGCUAAUCAGGUUCCUUCUUUCAUGGUGGUUGAAUUUGGUUAAUGUAAUGAAUGUGUUUGUUGAAUGCGAAUGCGUAAUCAAAGUGGUGGAAAUUGCUUAAUGUAAUGAAUGUUGAAUGCGAAUGACAAAAGUUACAAAUGAUAAGCGUUGAAAAUGAUGAGCGGGAAGAAUAAAGAGUAAAAUAAUUUAUGACGCCCAAUGUGGGAAUCGAACCCACUACAGGAAACUGGCUCGGGUUGACGUUGCCAUUAAGAAUGAAUGGGG